Molecule: non-coding RNA, 3781 nt
Organism: Dermacentor andersoni
Lineage: Eukaryota; Metazoa; Arthropoda; Arachnida; Ixodida; Ixodidae
Source: RefSeq, a predicted model, not a curated record
GGCUAUAGGCUGAUCUUUUUUUUUGGACGUUAAAUAAUGUUCGCGAAUUGGUUAAUUAUUUAAGUUAGUCGCAGUAAACUAGCAGUUACAGGGGUUGGUACGAAUCUGAUCUUUGGGUUGUAAGUUAACACCACUGAAGGAAUCUUCUAAUGGGCUCUGGUUAUCUUUUGGACGGUAAAUAUUUUGCGCAAAUUUAGGCAAUCAUCUGUGUUAGUCUCAGUAAACUAGCAAUUGCAGGGGUUGGUAUGUAUGCUACGAAUCUGAUCUUAGGGUUGUGAGUGAACAUCGGUGAACGACUCUUGUAUUGGGCUAUAGGCUGAUGUUUUUUUGCACGAUAAAUAUUUGAUGCCAAUUCGUUUAUUAUUCAUGGAAGGUAAUCUGAGUAUGCUAGCAAUUGCAGGGCGAGUGACGUAUGCUACGAAUCUGAGCUUUUUAGGGUUGUGAGUGAAUACGAGUGUAGGGAUCUUCUAAUGGGCUUUAUAGUGAUGUGUUUUUCCACACUAAAUAUUUGGUGCGAAUUCGUUAAUUAUUCAUGAAAGUUAGUCCCAGUAUACUAGCAAUUGCAGCGCGAGUGACGUAUGCUACGAAUUAAAGGUUUUUAGUGCUCUGAGUGAACACCACUGAAUGGAUCUUCUAAUGGACUAUAGGGUGAUCUUUCUCUGCCACGGUAUAUGAUUUGCGCAACGUAGUUCUUUAGUCACGUAAGUUAGUCUCACUAAACUAGCAAUUGCAGGGCGAGUGAUCUAUACUACGAAUUUGAGCUCUUUCGAAGAGUGAAUGCACUACAGUGAACGGGUGUUCUAAUGGGCUAAAGGUUUACGUUUUUUUGCCUGUUAAAAAAAUUUGCGCGAAUUCUUUUAUCAAUCAUGAAAGUUAUUCUCAGUGUUCGUGCAUUUGCAGAGGUUGUGAUGUAUGCGUGCGACUUGAAUUUUUCAGAAAAUUGAGCGAAUAGGAAGGCGCUGAAGUUGUAAGAGGCGAUGGGUGAUGUUUUUUUCACGAUUACUAAUUUGCACGAAAUCGUUUAUUGAUCUUGCAAGUUAGUGUCAAUGUACAUGUAUAUGUUCAGAUAGCAAUGUUUGGGUGGAAUUUGAGCUUUUCAGAGAAUUGUGCGAAUUGGAGGCUGCUGAGGUUCAAACGAGCCGUAGGCUGAUGGUUUUUCUGCGAUAACUAAUUUGAGUAAAUUCGUUUAUCAAUCAUGUAAGUUAGUUUCAGUAUUCUUGUAUUUGCAGGGAGAGUGAUGUAUGCGUAUAAUUUGACCUUUUCCGAUGAGUGAGCAGGACGACGCGGAGGUUCCGACGUGCUAAGGGCUGAUGUUUUUUCUGCGUUAACUGAUUUGCGAAAUAUCGUUUAUCAGUAAUGUAGGUUAAUAUCAGUACAUGUGUAUUUCAGAAGGAGUGGUGUAAGCGUGGAAUUCAAACUUUUCUGAGAAUUGAGUUAGAAGGUAUGCACCGAUGGUCUAACGGCUUUUAGGGUGACAUUUCUUCCGCGAUAACUAAUUCACGCAAAUUCUUUAAUUAAUCAUGUAUGUUACUGUCAGUAUACGUGCGUUUGCAACGGCAGUGGUGUAUGCGUCGAGUUCUAGCUUUUCAGACGUCUGAGCACGACUGGGCUGAAGGUCGAACAAAAUAUAGGUGUAUAUUUUUUCCCGAUAACUAAUUUGCGCAAAUCUGUGCAUUAAUCAUGUAAGGUAAUAUAUACGAUUAAGGUAAAUUACUCGUAUACGUUGAUUGGUAUCCCAUUAAAAAAACUUGGCGGUGUCUGAGAACAAGGUGGAGCUUCAUUAUGACCAGCAGAUAAGUUAGCCAGUGCCUCUAGUGAUCAUAUUUUUUAUUCGUUCUUCUCGUGUACUCACGUUGUGCUAUGUUUUGUUCUGUCCAUCACUGUGGUGACCUGCUUCCACGAGGUGUCCCUGACCCUGUUUUGUGCACCCAUCUGUCGGACAAGGAUGACGUCAGCGUUUCACUCUUCGUCACCAGGUCAAGAGCAGCGAGAGCAGCGUGCUUACCGGAAGUGGCGAGGAUGUUCCUACCACGAGCUUCGAACGACAGUCCCCCGAGCAGGAGCAACUUGCACCGUGGCCCGCUGCACACUCGGUGACCCAGGCUGGAGCGGUCCUUCUCCAACGUCACGUCUCGAAUCUGCGUCAAAGUGGCCACAUUUGUUGUCACGACGACGUGACAUGAUUGCCCACGAUUCUGGUAGACGCGUGUUUACGCGCACGAAAAGAAAAAGACUGGAAGCACCGCUGGCCAUAAGACCACAAGACGACAGUGACGACGUGUAACGCCCAUGACGUGCACCACGACUCGCAUGUCACAUGCUGCGAGUCGAAGUAAGUUUUGGCAGAGGCACAUAGGGAGUGCUUGGGGAGAGGGAGGAGGUGUCAUCGAAGUAGAGCACCGAUAGGACCGCGGCUUACCUCUGUAUCCAGUUGGUAAAGGCACAGGGAAGGCAAGGAGUAGAUUGUUGGUUUAACCCCGGGGCAGGGAUCAAUAGCUUAUAUAACGGAAAACUUCGCACGUUUUAGGAAAGUGGCUCUAAGCAUGAAGCGAAUGCCCUACCAUCUUCUGCGUACGAACGCACUUAUGCUGUCGUUGUCCUUCGCUAUACGUUGCUUCUUCUCCUAACGUGACGUAGCCUAACCUGAUGCUAACCUGCUUUAAUUACCCGGUCGCUAGAGAUUGUGUGUUCUGGCGCUGGCCUAAGGGUGGAAAUAUAUUCAUCAAACAUAAAAUAUUAGCGCAUGAAGGCAGGCUGCAUCACCGUUACGAAGGCCUGGAGUGGGAAGAGGGAGGGAGACAUAGCAAAUUUCCACGCUGCCACCGCCGAAGCACCAAUUGGCUUCUUUUGCACGUUGCUGUCGGCGCAAACUAAUAAACGUGUAACGUUCUUCGCAACACUUACUACCAACUGCGUUCGUAGACGAAAGAUGGUGGGGCGGCAUCGAUCUAUUGUAAAACUCGCAAUUUGGGUGUGGUUACUAUCGGCUGGUCCAGCUGGUGUAGCGAAGUCUGCCAGCUACAGCUACAUUGUCCAGCCUGAAUUGGCUAGCAUGGAGCGGCACUGCGCACAUGUGGUUUGUCCUUGAGUUUCGCGUAGCCGGAGUUGAAAGUAAUUGAAAUUACUGAGACCUGAGGGCUACAACACUACUAAACAGUGUGGUCUGUUUCGCAUUCCUACACAAGCGCACGCGGCCGAUGGUUUGCCUGUGUUCGUAAUUUCUCCGACGUUCGAAAUGAAGGUCUUCGCUUCAGCCUGUUUAUUAAACUGCCACGAUGUUUACACAGUAGCGCGAGGAUGAACCGUACUCAAACACCCUUUUUGAUGUCGGCUAUUGGCCUCAUAUGGGACUCUUCUAUUUGACGAAGUAGGGCAGCCCGUAGAGGGAGAAGAACACUUCUGGUUGAAAGCAGCGUUUGAGAAAAGUGAUCUCGAGCUCCGUUUUCGAAUCCCGCUUUGCCAGACAGCAAAAUUUUGAGAUAUUCACACCCGUCUUCGCUAUCCGCAUACUGUCUUUUCACCAAGACACCAACGUGGUAUAGGAGCCUUUUAACCCUCUAAUGCCUAACGCACCUUCUGCAUACUGCGCUGUUUGAGUAAUGAAAGUUGGAAUUCUCGCAAGUGAAACACAAGCAACGAUAUUAGGCCGGAGGCCAGUGUAAUGUGUGAAUAGCUUAGGGAUCCAAUUACUAACCACAAUGUUGUCUCUACUCAUACAUUUUGUUAUGUUUAGCACAAAUGCAGCCUCCAUGUCAACAAAUAAAGUUGGAUAAAUUCAGUG